CUAGGAGAAUAACAAUGGCUGUUUACCCGCUUUGGAUGCGGGAGGUUGCAGGUUCGAAUCCUGCCUCUUAGAC
This 73-nucleotide transfer RNA is filed under the name Dokdonia pacifica. RNAcentral describes it as "tRNA-Pro". It matches the Rfam family "tRNA". Rfam says of the family: Transfer RNA (tRNA) molecules are approximately 80 nucleotides in length. Their secondary structure includes four short double-helical elements and three loops (D, anti-codon, and T loops). Lineage: Bacteria; Pseudomonadati; Bacteroidota; Flavobacteriia; Flavobacteriales; Flavobacteriaceae. The record is from RNAcentral.